This 201-nucleotide unclassified non-coding RNA is filed under the name Hevea brasiliensis (rubber tree). Lineage: Eukaryota; Viridiplantae; Streptophyta; Magnoliopsida; Malpighiales; Euphorbiaceae. The record is from RNAcentral.
UGGACCAGAGCGGCACGACGGGAUAGGGCGUGCCCCACAUGUAUUUCAGUCCGCGUUCGUAGGCCGACUUGGUUGCAACAUUCGCUGCCACCAAAGGAAUCUGAUUUCGCUCGGCCACUGUCGGCACCGGCAAUCCCAGNGUCCAGUCGGGUCCGAGGAAGAAGUCGACCUGGUCGACAGUCGCCAUCUUUUCAUAAAGAG